RNAcentral lists this ribosomal RNA (941 nucleotides) under Cenococcum geophilum. RNAcentral describes it as "SSU rRNA". It matches the Rfam family "Eukaryotic small subunit ribosomal RNA", at positions 153 to 1102 of the family's 1831-position model. The record is from RNAcentral. Lineage: Eukaryota; Fungi; Ascomycota; Dothideomycetes; Gloniales; Gloniaceae.
UAAUUCUAGAGCUAAUACAUGCUGAAAACCCCGACUUCGGGAGGGGUGUAUUUAUUAGAUAAAAAACCAACGCCCUUCGGGGCUUCUUGGUGAUUCAUGAUAACUUAACGAAUCGCAUGGCCUUGCGCCGGCGAUGGUUCAUUCAAAUUUCUGCCCUAUCAACUUUCGAUGGUAGGAUAGUGGCCUACCAUGGUAUCAACGGGUAACGGGGAAUUAGGGUUCUAUUCCGGAGAGGGAGCCUGAGAAACGGCUACCACAUCCAAGGAAGGCAGCAGGCGCGCAAAUUACCCAAUCCCGACACGGGGAGGUAGUGACAAUAAAUACUGAUACAGGGCUCUUUUGGGUCUUGUAAUUGGAAUGAGUACAAUUUAAAUCCCUUAACGAGGAACAAUUGGAGGGCAAGUCUGGUGCCAGCAGCCGCGGUAAUUCCAGCUCCAAUAGCGUAUAUUAAAGUUGUUGCAGUUAAAAAGCUCGUAGUUGAACCUUGGGCCUGGCUGGCCGGUCCGCCUCACCGCGUGCACUGGUCCGGCCGGGCCUUUCCUUCUGGGGAGCCGCAUGCCCUUCACUGGGUGUGUCGGGGAACCAGGACUUUUACUUUGAAAAAAUUAGAGUGUUCAAAGCAGGCCUUUGCUCGGAUACAUUAGCAUGGAAUAAUAGAAUAGGACGUGCGGUCCUAUUUUGUUGGUUUCUAGGACCGCCGUAAUGAUUAAUAGGGAUAGUCGGGGGCAUCAGUAUUCAAUUGUCAGAGGUGAAAUUCUUGGAUUUAUUGAAGACUAACUACUGCGAAAGCAUUUGCCAAGGAUGUUUUCAUUAAUCAGUGAACGAAAGUUAGGGGAUCGAAGACGAUCAGAUACCGUCGUAGUCUUAACCGUAAACUAUGCCGACUAGGGAUCGGGCGAUGUUAUCAUUUUGACUCGCUCGGCACCUUACGAGAAAUCAAA